This 200-nucleotide ribosomal RNA is filed under the name uncultured Leptolinea sp. RNAcentral's name for it is "partial 16S ribosomal RNA". It matches the Rfam family "Bacterial small subunit ribosomal RNA", at positions 1183 to 1382 of the family's 1533-position model. Lineage: Bacteria; Bacillati; Chloroflexota; Anaerolineae; Anaerolineales; Anaerolineaceae. The record is from RNAcentral.
CGUCAAGUCAGCAUGGCCUUUAUAUCCUGGGCUACACACACGCUACAAUGGCCAACACAAUAGGUUGCUAAGCCGCGAGGUGGCGCCAAUCCAUAAAGUUGGUCUCAGUUCAGAUUGUAGGCUGCAACCCGCCUGCAUGAAGAUGGAGUUGCUAGUAACCGCAGGUCAGCUAUACUGCGGUGAAUACGUUCCCGGGGCUU